GACAAAAGCCGGGAUAGCU
RNAcentral lists this transfer RNA (19 nucleotides) under Sphagnum subsecundum. RNAcentral describes it as "partial tRNA-Phe". The record is from RNAcentral. Lineage: Eukaryota; Viridiplantae; Streptophyta; Sphagnopsida; Sphagnales; Sphagnaceae. RNAcentral also lists the same sequence under 1 other name.